GUAGGGGGCGAGCGUUGUCCGGAUUUAUUGGGCGUAAAGAGCUCGUAGGCGGUUGCGUAAGUCGGAUGUGAAAACUCAGGGCUCAACCCUGAGAUGCCAUACGAUACUGCGCUGACUCGAGUCCGGUAGGGGAGCAUGGAAUUCCUGGUGUAGCGGUGAAAUGCGCAGAUAUCAGGAGGAACACCAGUGGCGAAGGCGGUGCUCUGGGCCGGUACUGACGCUGAGGGAGCGAAAGCAGUGGGUAGCAAACAGGAUUAGAUACCCUGGUAGUCCAUGCCCGUAAACGUUGGGCACUAGGUGUGGGGCCCUACUUAACGGGUUCCGUGCCGUAGCUAACGCAUUAAGUGCCCCCGCCUGGGAGUACGGCCGCAAGGCUA
This 377-nucleotide ribosomal RNA is filed under the name uncultured organism. RNAcentral describes it as "partial 16S ribosomal RNA". It matches the Rfam family "Bacterial small subunit ribosomal RNA", at positions 527 to 896 of the family's 1533-position model. The record is from RNAcentral.